Molecule: ribosomal RNA, 389 nt
Filed under: uncultured euryarchaeote
Lineage: Archaea; Methanobacteriati; Methanobacteriota
Description: bacterial SSU rRNA
Rfam family: Archaeal small subunit ribosomal RNA
Source: RNAcentral
GCGCGAAAACUCUCCAAUGUGCGAAAGCGUGAGAGGGGAACUCCCAGUGCUUACAGAUUUUCUGUAGGCUUUUGCCAUGUGUAAAUAGCAUGGCGAAUAAGUGGUGGGCAAGACUGGUGCCAGCCGCCGCGGUAACACCAGCGCCACAAGUGGCUAUCACGAUUAUUGGGCCUAAAGCGUCCGUAGUCGGCUUAGUGCAUCCUCUGUGAAAUCGCAACGCUCAACGUUGCGGCAUGCGGGGGACACGACUAAGCUUGGGAGCGGGAGGCGUCAGGGGUAUUCCAAGGGGACCGGUAAAAUGGUAUAAUCCUUGGAGGACCACCUGUGGCGAAGGCGCCUGACGAGAACGCAUCCGACGAUGAGGGACGAAAGCCAGGGGAGCAAAACGG